This 92-nucleotide small nucleolar RNA is filed under the name Carlito syrichta (Philippine tarsier). RNAcentral describes it as "Small nucleolar RNA SNORA40 (ENSTSYG00000025284.2)". It matches the Rfam family "Small nucleolar RNA SNORA40". Rfam says of the family: The snoRNA ACA 40 belongs to the H/ACA family of snoRNAs and guides the pseudouridylation of 28S rRNA subunit at position U4565. NB This family has a high threshold value to exclude a large number of closely related sequences that do not appear to have conserved H and ACA boxes, and may be pseudogenes. The record is from Rfam by way of RNAcentral. Lineage: Eukaryota; Metazoa; Chordata; Mammalia; Primates; Tarsiidae.
UGCACAUCCUUAGACAGGUGCAAAAAAAUCCUCUUUUGUAAUCCAGAACUCAUUGUUCAGUUUGAGCUUUGAUACAUAUAAGAAGGAAUAUU